UACGUAGGGUGCGAGCGUUAAUCGGAAUUACUGGGCGUAAAGCGUGCGCAGGCGGCCGCGCAAGUCGAGUGUGAAAUCCCCGAGCUUAACUUGGGAAUUGCGCUCGAAACUACGUGGCUCGAGUGUGGCAGAGGAAGGUGGAAUUCCACGUGUAGCGGUGAAAUGCGUAGAGAUGUGGAGGAACGCCAAUGGCGAAGGCAGGCUUCUGGGCGAACACUGACGCUCAGGCACGAAAGCGUGGGGAGCAAACAGG
This 253-nucleotide ribosomal RNA is filed under the name uncultured bacterium. Its description in RNAcentral is "partial 16S ribosomal RNA". It matches the Rfam family "Bacterial small subunit ribosomal RNA", at positions 524 to 776 of the family's 1533-position model. The record is from RNAcentral.